This 489-nucleotide unclassified non-coding RNA is filed under the name Borreliella burgdorferi (Lyme disease spirochete). Its description in RNAcentral is "partial 16S-23S ribosomal RNA intergenic spacer". The stretch from base 126 to 199 matches the Rfam family "tRNA". Lineage: Bacteria; Pseudomonadati; Spirochaetota; Spirochaetia; Spirochaetales; Borreliaceae. The record is from RNAcentral.
UCUUUUCUUUUGAUAAGAGAGUUUUUAAAACCAGUGUUAUUUAUGUAAGUUUAAGAGAAGUUUAUGUAUUAAAUUAUUGAUAUUAAAUAGUUUUAUUAGGCUUAGACUUAAUUUUAGGUCAUUUUGGGGGUUUAGCUCAGUUGGCUAGAGCAUCGGCUUUGCAAGCCGAGGGUCAAGGGUUCGAGUCCCUUAACCUCCAUUGGGCUUAUGCCCUAAAUUGUAAUUAAGUAUGUUUUUAAGUAACUUUGUUAAAGUAAUUGUUGGAAUGUGAAACACAAGAAGUUAAAAUUUCUGGGUUAAGUUGAGAUCUGUUGAUAUUAAGAAAAAUGUCUAGAAGCAAAAGCAAGCUUUCGAUAAAACCCGAAGUUGUUUCGCUAAAGUGCAAGGAUUAAACAGGAUUGUAUUUUUCAGCAGCCUAUUUUAUAAACGAUCUGCAUUUAGUAAAUAGUUUUUAGUUAGGAAAUAAUGUAGAUUACUAAGUGUGAUGUC